AGAGUUUGAUCCUGGCUCAGAUUGAACGCUGGCGGCAGGCCUAACACAUGCAAGUCGAGCGGAUGAAGGGAGCUUGCUCCCUGAUUUAGCGGCGGACGGGUGAGUAAUGCCUAGGAAUCUGCCUGGUAGUGGGGGAUAGCGUUCCGAAAGGAACGCUAAUACCGCAUACGUCCUACGGGAGAAAGCAGGGGACCUUCGGGCCUUGCGCUAUCAGAUGAGCCUAGGUCGGAUUAGCUAGUUGGUGAGGUAAUGGCUCACCAAGGCGACGAUCCGUAACUGGUCUGAGAGGAUGAUCAGUCACACUGGAACUGAGACACGGUCCAGACUCCUACGGGAGGCAGCAGUGGGGAAUAUUGGACAAUGGGCGAAAGCCUGAUCCAGCCAUGCCGCGUGUGUGAAGAAGGUCUUCGGAUUGUAAAGCACUUUAAGUUGGGAGGAAGGGCAUUAACCUAAUACGUUAGUGUUUUGACGUUACCGACAGAAUAAGCACCGGCUAACUUCGUGCCAGCAGCCGCGGUAAUACGAAGGGUGCAAGCGUUAAUCGGAAUUACUGGGCGUAAAGCGCGCGUAGGUGGUUCGUUAAGUUGGAUGUGAAAGCCCCGGGCUCAACCUGGGAACUGCAUCCAAAACUGGCGAGCUAGAGUACGGUAGAGGGUGGUGGAAUUUCCUGUGUAGCGGUGAAAUGCGUAGA
This 691-nucleotide ribosomal RNA is filed under the name uncultured bacterium. Its description in RNAcentral is "bacterial SSU rRNA". It matches the Rfam family "Bacterial small subunit ribosomal RNA", at positions 8 to 694 of the family's 1533-position model. The record is from RNAcentral.